AGAAGGUUAUCAUAAUAAAUUGAGAGUAAUUUCGGCUUACUUAGUGCUUACCUGCAUCUUCUA
Molecule: transfer RNA, 63 nt
Filed under: Linognathus vituli
Lineage: Eukaryota; Metazoa; Arthropoda; Insecta; Psocodea; Linognathidae
Description: tRNA-Arg
Source: RNAcentral